UACAGAGGUGGCAAGCGUUGUUCGGAAUUACUGGGCGUAAAGGGCGCGUAGGCGGCCAUCUAAGUCAGACGUGAAAUCCCCCGGCUUAACCUGGGAACUGCGUCUGAUACUGGAGGGCUUGAGUGCGGGAGAGGGAUGUGGAAUUCCAGGUGUAGCGGUGAAAUGCGUAGAUAUCAGGAGGAACACCGGUGGCGAAGGCGGCAUCCUGGACCGGCAUUGACGCUGAGGCGCGAAAGCUAGGGGAGCAAACGGG
Molecule: ribosomal RNA, 253 nt
Filed under: uncultured bacterium
Lineage: Bacteria
Description: partial 16S ribosomal RNA
Rfam family: Bacterial small subunit ribosomal RNA
Source: RNAcentral